Non-coding RNA from Prunus mume (Japanese apricot), 3948 nucleotides. NCBI's taxonomy places the organism in Eukaryota, Viridiplantae, Streptophyta, Magnoliopsida, Rosales, Rosaceae. The record is from RefSeq and is a predicted model, not a curated record.
UGUCCAGAACAUUAUCCCACUAUUUUAUGUUGGCCUCGGUUGGGUUGAUCCUCCUGAGAGAGAGAGAGAGAGAGAGAGAGAGAGGAUUACAAGGGUAGACUGUGAGAAAGUCCCAUGAAAAGCAACCAAAUUUUGGGGUCUCCUUUUUUCCCCAUCUUUGAUUAGAUUUUUGUUCACCUUUCGUUUUGCUUCGUUCUUUCUCAAUUCCACUCAAUAAAAAGUGGGUUUUUGCAAUUUCAGCUACUGGUAACAUCUUAAACUGUUCUCAAUUUUAUUGCUGGAAGUUUGAAUUUUGAAAUUGUGAUUGUUGUUCUUGUUCUUGUUUUGUUAUUGCUGUUGUUGUGUUUGGUUUCAGUUGAAUCCAUAUUUUCUCAGCAGUGCAUGUGUGAGAAUGUCUAGUUGAACCUCACCAAGAAAAGAAUGUCUAGUUGAAUGUUUGGUUGCCGAAUAUUUCCGGGCUGUGUGUGAUCUGAAUGUAUUCCAUUCCUUUUACCAUCUCCUUUUAUCCGGACAACAAGAAAGUUCUUGGUUUAUACUUCCCUUGUUUCGAUUCACUUAUCUUCAAAGAUAUUUGCAGUCAGCCUUUAACUUGUCAUAAUCUCUUUAUCCCUUAGCUAGGAUUUCAUUCGAAAUUAUCAGUACUAGCAGUAACCUCUCACUCAAAACUCAGACCGGUUGUUUGUAUUUCAAGCUUAUUGUAGUCUGCUUCUGCGAUAUAAAUUUUCAAAAAGGUUUUGCUUGUCAUAGAAAAUACGUAAUCUUUAAUGGGUUGUUUCAUCUAUGUGGGCGAGGGGAUAGAUAUAGAGAGGCUUUGAUGAACUAGAGUUCCAGUCUAGAAACAAAUGGUGUCCAAAUCGUAUUCCAAUCUUUUGGAGCUUACCUCAGGCGAGGCUCCUUCGUUUGGCCGAAUUGGCAGGCGAAUUCCACGUAUUAUGACUGUUGCCAGUUUGAUAUCCGAUGUUGAUGAUGAUCCGUCCGAGAGUGCGUGCUCCGAAGACAUGUCUUCAUCUUCAGUCCAACGUGACCGAAUCAUAAUAGUGGCUAACCAGCUCCCCAUAAGGGCGCAGAGAAAAUCAGAUACCAGUAAGGGUUGGAUUUUCAAUUGGGAUGAGAAUUCACUACUUCUCCAAUUGAAAGAUGGUUUGGGGGAUGAUGAGAUUGAAGUCAUUUAUGUUGGUUGUCUUAAGGAAGAAAUUCACCCAAAUGAACAAGACGAGGUUUCCCAAAUUCUUCUCGAGACCUUUAAAUGUGUCCCAACCUUUCUCCCACCAGAUCUUUUCAGCCGGUAUUAUCAUGGGUUCUGUAAGCAGCAGUUGUGGCCACUGUUUCAUUACAUGCUACCCCUUUCGCCGGACCUCGGUGGUAGAUUUAACCGGUCCUUAUGGCAAGCAUAUGUGUCAGUGAACAAGAUUUUUGCAGAUAGGAUCAUGGAAGUGAUUAACCCAGAAGAUGAUUUUGUGUGGAUACAUGAUUAUCAUCUGAUGGUGUUGCCAACUUUCUUGAGGAAGAGAUUCAAUCGCGUGAAACUUGGGUUUUUCCUCCAUAGUCCGUUCCCUUCGUCUGAAAUUUAUAAGACAUUGCCUGUCAGGGAAGAGAUUCUGAGAGCCAUUUUGAAUUCUGAUUUAAUUGGAUUCCAUACAUUUGACUAUGCAAGGCAUUUCCUCUCAUGCUGUAGUCGAAUGCUUGGUCUUACCUAUGAAUCCAAGCGGGGUUACAUAGGCCUCGAGUAUUACGGUCGGACUGUUAGCAUCAAGAUUCUUCCUGUUGGUAUACACAUGGGUCAGCUGCAGUCGGUUUUGAGCCUCCCAGAGACUGAAGCCAAGGUUGUUGAGCUUAUGAAACAGUUCUGUGACCGAGGAAGGAUAAUGUUACUCGGGGUAGAUGACAUGGACAUUUUUAAGGGUAUAAGUUUGAAGCUUUUGGCAAUGGAGCAGCUGCUUGUUCAGCAUCCAGAGUGGCAAGGGAAGGUUGUAUUGGUGCAGAUAGCCAAUCCAGCCAGGGGUCGGGGAAAAGACGUGAAAGAAGUUCAGGCUGAGACAUCCUCAACUGUGAAGCGAAUUAAUGAAACAUUUGGGAACCCUGGGUAUAAGCCUGUCGUGUUGAUUGAUGAGCCACUCAAGUUCUAUGAGAGAAUUGCAUAUUAUGUUGUUGCCGAGUGUUGUUUGGUGACAGCUGUCAGGGAUGGGAUGAAUCUAAUACCAUAUGAAUACAUAAUCAGUCGGCAACGGAAUGCGAAAUUGGAUAAGGUUUUGGAGUUGGAACCCUCCAACCCGAAGAAGAGCAUGUUAGUUGUCUCCGAGUUCAUUGGCUGCUCCCCUUCUUUGAGUGGAGCAAUUCGUGUGAACCCCUGGAAUAUUGAUGCUGUGGCAGAUGCAAUGGACUGUGCCCUAGAGAUGGCGGAGCCAGAAAAACAGCUCCGACAUGAGAAGCAUUAUAGAUAUGUCAGUACCCAUGAUGUUGGGUAUUGGGCUCGUAGUUUCCUCCAAGAUCUGGAAAGAACAUGUAGGGGCCAUUUGCGUCAGAGGUGCUGGGGUAUUGGGUUCGGUUUGAGUUUCAGAGUUGUGGCCCUUGAUUCGAACUUCAGGAAGCUCUCUAUGGAGCAUAUAGUUUCAGCUUACAAAAGGACCACAACUAGGGCAAUCCUGCUUGACUAUGAUGGUACAUUGAUGCCUCAGGCUUCCAUUGAUAAGAGCCCAACUUCUAAAUCCAUCGAUAUCCUCAAUAACUUGUGCAGAGACAAGAACAACAUGGUUUUCAUUGUUAGUGCAAAAAGCCGUAAAGUACUUGCUGAAUGGCUCUCUCCUUGUGAGAAGCUUGGAAUUGCUGCUGAACACGGCUACUUUCUACGAUUGAAGCGAGAUGCAGAAUGGGAAACGUGUGCACCAGUUGCAGAUAGCAGUUGGAAGCAGAUUGCAGAGCCAGUAAUGAAGCUUUACACUGAAACAACUGAUGGUUCCACCAUUGAAGAUAAGGAAACUGCACUUGUGUGGUCUUAUGAGGAUGCUGAUCCAGAUUUUGGAUCAUGCCAAGCUAAGGAACUUCUUGAUCAUCUUGAAAGUGUGCUUGCUAAUGAACCAGUUAAUGUUAAAAGCGGGCAGAAUGUAGUGGAGGUUAAGCCGCAGGGUGUAAACAAAGGACUUGUAGCCAAACGUCUACUUUCCACCAUGCAAGAAAGGGGAAUGUCACCGGAUUUUGUUCUCUGCAUAGGUGAUGACAGAUCUGAUGAAGACAUGUUUGAGGUAAUCACAAGUUCCAUAGCAGGCCCAUCCAUCGCACCCAGAGCUGAAGUAUUUGCAUGUACGGUUGGACGAAAACCCAGCAAAGCCAAGUAUUAUCUGGAUGAUACAGGGGAAAUUGUUAGGUUGUUGCAGGGGUUGGCAUCUGUGUCAGAGCAGACGGUACCUCUGUAGGCUUACCAAAGAUAAAGAAUGGGGCACCACCUUGUUUUCUCUGUUUGUAACUGCCAUGAUGUAGUUCAUUCAUAACUGUUGCCUAGGCUACCUUCUCUUGGAAGACCCAUCUUCUAGGGUAAACCCCCCUUACGAAGAGAUUGUUGUCUGGAUUGCUUCAACACGGAUUGAUGAUAUUACAUAUUUUUUGUUUUACCUUUUAACCUUGGCAGAAAUGUCGUUUGAACUUUGAAUCCUUUUGGUGGGUUGUGUUCAUGAGUGUAGAACUCAAUACUUUUAGUUUGAAUCUAGAAUUGUAGAGCGCAGUUAACUGGAGGAAUUAUGCUCUUGUCACGACCAAGAUGCUGCUGAAAUUUGAAGUUGGUGAAUGGUAGCAGCACGUAGCAAAGCAAGUGAAACCAGGACCUGUAGGCUUUUUCUGUGUUUUGGGCAAUAAUGUAAUUAUGCGGAUCCCAUCAGUAUAGCAAUUUUACGAAGCGGCAAUGUCUUGUGCGGUGCUUUCCUUGAUAACUCGGCAGGCACAAUUCUUAUACCCUAA